CAUUGACAUAUUGUUCAGACAUGUAUUACAUGCAUAUGUAAAUAGUUUUUGUUGUUCUGCUCUGAAGCGCCUUGAGCCUCUAAUAAGGAUGGAAAGUGCGCAAUAUAAAUCUUAUGUACUAUUAUUAUUAACAUGACCAUCACUAUACUUCUUAUGAUAUUUAUGAGGAUGAAGGCAGACCAUCUGUAAUGAUAGGCAUGUGCAGAAGGAUGAUACUGCUGACACAAUUUUAGAGACCUUAAAGACAAUUAUACACGAUGUUGUCGGGGAACAAGUAGAUCAAGCCUAAAAUCAAGCAGUGAAUACCGUUUUGGCAAACAUAAGGAACAUAAUGAGCGAUAGGCAUACCAUUCAGAAGAAAUUCUUUCUUAAAUUGAAGGGUAUUUCGGCCGUACCCCUUGCUCCUUUUAAAUGCAAUAGGUUUUCAAAAAUUUUUCGCAACGCUGCCAGUGUUGCUUACCUGCUACCAGAAAUACAAGCACUUUUUGACAUCCAUGAAGAUGAGAAUCUCCUGCUGAAGGCUGUCAUUGCCAAUUUAGGCAUCAGCCAGUUUGCUGCUGGGCCUCAUUGACAAGUUUAUCACCGGUCCGUUAUGGCACGCGAUAAAUCAGAAGGGAGUGUAGUAGCGACUGCCUUGGGGGCUGGGGUUCGGAUAUUCUCGGAGGAUUUCGUAAGGAGUCGGUGGGGUUUCUCGACCUGUGACCCAGGGUCACAGGUAGUAUGCUCUUCAUGACUCACACGUGUUUGGACCGUUGAACUGAAAGCAUCGCUUUUGCCGAAACUCCUGAAAGAGCUGUUUCUUGUUUGGAUACCAAGCUGGGCAGACCUAAGUACAGGUAAGUGGGUUCUUUAUUUGAACUUAGGACCCGCGCGGCUUCAGGAGGUUCAUGUAGAAGACAAGUUAUUCAUGAGAGUUUUUCUAGGUGGUCAGAGGAUAGGAACCAACUCGUGAGGGGGGAUGAUGUCCUAUUUCAUGACAUUGACAUCAAGAAAGAUCAAAUUUAUCAUUCACUAGUGCAAGUUAAUCCAGAUUUGGAUGCAAUGACAAAGCAGGCUCUAGAAUUUGUUUUCCUGAUAUUCUUCCAAGUCACCUAAAAGAUGUUGGCCGACCAUUUGCCUUCCGGCUCUCAUACAGUAAUAGAUGGAAAAAAGAAAAGGAAAACAGCUAGUAUGCCAAGGACCAAUGCAAGUUUAGAAAGAAAUUUCAGUACGCAAGAGAGGUUGAUGCACUUAAAGCCAGCCACGAGUACAAUGGCGUAUGAAGGGAUAGUUAUGAAUGUAAAGAAUAGGACAAGUGAAGGGAGGAAUACAUGGAAUAUGCCCAGAAGAGCAUCAAGGCUCAAAGGGAGGAAUACGCACAAAGGGUAGAGACCCUAUGGGAUAAUAGGGAAGGCACACAAAAAAAUCAGAAGCAAAUUGCCAAAUAAGGUGAGGACUGAAAAGUUGUUUGCUCGUGUUAGCAGCAAGUGCAGCAGGAUAUGGCUCUCAGAAACUAAAGUCAAUUCUCGAUUAGAGGGGGCCAAUGACAAGCAUGCCAUUGAAAUGCUUUACUCUCAGUCACAGGCUAGAUGACAUGUUUUUGGGAAGAAUAUUGACAGUAAUUUAGAUAUCACUGUCAAAGGUAGAAAGAAGAGCUUGUUAGAACUAAAACAGUCCCUAAUUAGUGUAAUCAAAGCAGCCAAUGACAGGGACUGUAAUGUUGAAGAAGAAGAAAUCAAUUAUGAUUAGGCCGUAGCACCCACCGACAAGGUAGAUGUGUUCAGGCAAAAGACGUGCAAAAAGAUGGCAAAAGAAAAACUAGGACCUCAUGAGGCAAGGCCGUGAACUACGAUAGCUUAGUGGGAAUAAUAGUUGACCAUCUAUCAAUAGACGAAGAUGGUGACGUGUAAGGGUGGUACCGUGCCAUAGUUGUUCGAAAAUAUCAGAGGUCUUAGCUAUGAUAGUGACCCAAUGUCGAUCUAAACUUAUCCAAAUAGAGACAUAGAAGGUUUGGAAAAAGGGGACCUCGAGGUUGUAGAAUUGAAUGUUGAUGAUAUAGUAGGGAUGUAUUUAAUUCAUCAGUUUGUGGUCGGGGAUGAAAAGAUAUGGUAUGUACAGAGGUAGAUGAGUUCAGGCAAAAGACGUGCAAAAAGAUGGCAAAAGAAAAGACUAGGACCUCAUGAGGCAAGGCCGUGAACUACGAUAGCUUAGUGGGAAUAAUAGUUGACCAUCUAUCAAUAGACGAAGAUGGUGACGCGUAAGGGUGGUACCGUGCCAUAGUCGUUCAAAAAUAUCCAAGAGGUCUUAGCUAUGAAAGUGACCCAAUGUCGAUCUAAACUUAUCCAAAGAGAGACAUAGAAGGUUUGGAAAAAGGGGACCUCGAGGUUGUAGAAUUGAAUGUUGAUGAUAUAGUAGGGAUGUAUUUAAUUCAUCAGUUUGUGGUCGGGGAUGAAACGAUAUGGUAUGUACAGAGGGUUCAUAUCCUCUGUAACCGGCCCCCAUGAAUGCCUCGUCGAGUAUAAAUCUUUAGAAGAUGAAAAUGUCGACAGCGAUACAAUAGAUAAUACAUGGGUAGGACCAAUUUUAGAAGAUUGUCUUAAUAAUGACCUGAGGUUUGUUAGACCUAAAAUACCAAAUAUUCUUGUAAUGCUCCAGAUCAAAUUUAUCAUUUACAUGGAAUAUGCCCAGAAGAGCGUCAAGGCUCAAAGGGAUGAAUAUGCGUGAAGGGUAGAGACCCCUUGGGAUAAUAAGAAAUCCAAAAGAAAAAAUCAGAAGCAAAUUGCCAAAUAAGGUAAGGACUGAAAAGUUGUAUGCUAGUGUUAGCAGAAAGUGCGUCAGGAUAUGGCUAUCAGAAACUGAAGUCAAUUCUCGAUUAGACGGGGUCAAUGAAAAGCUUGCCAUCAAAAUGCUUCACUCUCAGUUACAGGCUAGAUUUCUUUUUUGGGAGAAGAACAUUGACAGUAAUUUAAAUAUCACUGUCAAAGGUAGAAAGAAGAGCUUGUUAGAACUAAAACAGUCCAUAAUUAGUGUAAUCAAAGCAGCCAAUGACAGGGUUUGUAAUGUUGAAGAAGAAAUUAAUUAUGAUUAGGCCGUAGCACCCACCCGACAAGGUAGUUGAGUUCAGGCAAAAGAUGCACAAAAAGAUGGCAAAAGAAAAGACUAGGACCUCAUGAGGCAAGGCCGUGAACUACGAUAGCUUAGUAGGAAUAAUAGUUGACCAUCUAUCAAUAGACGAAGAUGGUGACGCGUAAGGGUGGUACCGUGCCAUAGUCGUUCGAAAAUAUCAAAGAGGUCUUAGCUAUGAUAGUGACCCAAUGUCGAUCUAAACUUAUCCAAAGAGAGACAUAGGUUUGGAAAAAGGGGACCUCAAGGUUGUAGAAUUGAAUGUUGAUGAUAUAGUAGGGAUGCAUUUAAUUCAUCAGUUUGUGGUCGGGGAUGAAAAGAUAUGGUACAGAU
Molecule: long non-coding RNA, 3435 nt
Filed under: Lytechinus variegatus (green sea urchin)
Lineage: Eukaryota; Metazoa; Echinodermata; Echinoidea; Temnopleuroida; Toxopneustidae
Description: uncharacterized LOC121428744, transcript variant X1
Source: RNAcentral